Molecule: ribosomal RNA, 386 nt
Filed under: Triticum aestivum (bread wheat)
Lineage: Eukaryota; Viridiplantae; Streptophyta; Magnoliopsida; Poales; Poaceae
Description: partial small subunit ribosomal RNA
Source: RNAcentral
CGUCACACCCUCUCGCCGGCAGCGCCAGGAGGGGAUAAGGGCGACAGCCCACGCCUCCUCGAUCCCCUCUCCCACUUCUCCCUGCCACUCCAUCCACCUCGCUCUCGCCCUCACCCAUCGCUCUUCCGCUCCCCACCGUUUCCCCCAUCUCCCGAGCGCGGCCGUCGCCGACGCGCUUCACCGCGGCCACCGGCCGGCCCUCGUCUUCUGCCACGCCGUAAAGUCUCUUCAUCGUCUGCCACGCCGCCUGGUGCCAGGUUGGGGCUAGGGAGGUCUACAGCGUCGGAUCCCCUUCAUCGUCUUCCUCUGGUCGCCGCCACCGCAUUCGACUCCGUCCAUCACCCUGCUGCUACUAAGUUGCGACCGGGCCACCGUGCGCCUCCCCG